CCUUCGGGAGGCAGCAGUGGGGAAUAUUGCACAAUGGGGGAACCCCUGAUGCAGCGACGCCGCGUGAGUGAAGAAGUAUUUCGGUAUGUAACGCUCUAUCAGCAGGGAAGAAAGAGGACGGUACCUGACUGAGGAGCCCCGGCUAACUACGUGCCAGCAGCCUCGGUAAUACGUAGGGGGCAAGCGUUAUCCGGAUUUACUGGGGGUAAAGGGAGCGUAGACGGCGCGGCAAGUUUGACGGGAAAGGCACGGGCUGAACCCCUGAACUGCUUUUGAAACUGCCAUGCUAGAGUGCUGGAGAGGUAAGUGGAAUUCCUGGUGUAGCGGUGAAAUGCGUAGAUAUGAGGAGGAACACCAGUGGCGAAGGCGGCUUACUGGACAGUAACUGACGUUGAGGCUCGAAAGCGUGGGGAGCAAACAGGAUUAGAUACCCGAGUAGUC
This 441-nucleotide ribosomal RNA is filed under the name uncultured bacterium. RNAcentral's name for it is "partial 16S ribosomal RNA". It matches the Rfam family "Bacterial small subunit ribosomal RNA", at positions 338 to 795 of the family's 1533-position model. The record is from RNAcentral.